This 1782-nucleotide long non-coding RNA is filed under the name Mytilus galloprovincialis (Mediterranean mussel). The record is from RNAcentral. Lineage: Eukaryota; Metazoa; Mollusca; Bivalvia; Mytilida; Mytilidae.
UUAAUAUUUUAUGAUGUAUUUAAAUGAGUAGUUAUUGUUGCAAACUCCAUUAGAAAUUUUAAUUGAGAUUAGUUUUGGAAUAAGGGAAAGGGGGAUGUGAUUAAAAAAAUUGGGUUCAAUUUUUCUCAUUUGAAAUUUCAUAAAUAAAAAAGAAAAUUUCUUCAAACAUUUUUAUGCCCCACCUACGAUAGUAGAGGGGCAUUAUGUUUUCUGGUCUGUGCGUCCGUCCGUCCGUCCGUCUGUCCUGCUUCAGGUUAAAGUUUUUGGUCAAGGUAGUUUUUGAUGAAGUUUAAUUCCAAUCGACUUCAAACUUAGUACACAUGUCCCCUAUGAUAUGAUCUUUCUAAUUUUAAUGCCAAAUUAGAGUUUUUACCCCAAUUUUACGGUCCACUGAACAUGGAAAAUGAUAGUGCGAGUGGGGCAUUCGUGUACUGAGGACACAUUCUUGUUUUGAGAGGAUUAAUAUUCAACAGCAUAGUGAAUUGCUCUAAGAGAAAACAAAAAUUUUAAGUUCAUUAGAACACAUUCAUUCUGUGUCAGAAACCUAUGCUGUGUCAACUAUUUAAUCACAAUCCAAAUUUAGAGCUGAAUCCAGCUUGAAUGUUGUGUCCAUACUUGCCCCAACCGUUCAGGGUUCAACCUCUGCGGUCGUAUAAAGCUACGCCCUGCGGAGCAUCUGGUUGGAGUGUGAUUUCACUCGAGGUUUGCUUGGCUAUCAAUUUAGAAUUUUGUAUGAAAGAUACCUUUCCUGUAGCUAUUACACCAUUUUUAAUGACUUUGUUUACAUUUUUUAUGAUGGGAUGUAGUUUGAUACAAAAGAUGUUCCAGUUGACAGUAACAGCAUAUGUUAUGGUAAUCUUGGUAAAGUUUAACAGUGGUCUAGCCAAUUUACUACAGAGUAUAUAGAAAAAGGGUAACUUUGGGAACACUAGAAAAUUGUAAAAACUUACAAUACUCAAUGUGAUUCUAUAAUAUGGAGUAUAAAUAUUACCAACUGAUAACCAGAGUUGCCCUUUUCCUGGGAUAAGUAUUACCCUAUUUGAAUACUGGGAACUGGUGUUUAAAUUUUGUCCACAUAAUCUUGACAUUUAUAGCAGAUUUGUAAACAAAACUAUGUGUUGAUGUAUUAAAGUUUAACUAUCUAACUUAGCCUUUAUUGCACAAAUUUUGUCUUGCUAUAAUUUUAUGGUUUUAAAAAACAUUCUUUAAUAUUGUAUUUCCAUGAGAAUGUGAAAUAAGAUAUAAUAAACCUUCAAAAAAAAUAAAUUUGUAAAACUUUGGAACUUUUUGUGUUGUUAGGUUGCUGUCUCAACAUUUACCUGAACAUUUCCUUUAAUUUCUAUAUUUUCUUCUUUUUUUUUAUCUUGCUAUCUCUUGAUCUUCUUUUUGUUUUAAAUGAGGGCUAUGUUUUAAUUUUUUACAAAUCCAAUAUGCGAGUUCCAUCAAGUUAAAUCACUGAAAAGAUUUGACUUGAAUUGUAUACACACUUGGUUUAUUAUUAACAAAAAAUAAGAUUAAGAUGACCUUGUUAUCUAACAAAUUUCUAUGCCUUUUCCUUUUCUGAAAACUAUAGAAUCUCAUAACUUUACUUUAUGAUAUAUAAUGUUUUGUGAACAACUGUUCUGUUGAUUUGCUAUAAAUAGAGUAGGAGUAGGAAUGAAAUCUUGAUGCUGUUGACAAUUAUUUCAUUAUUAUAAAAUCUGAUAAUUGAAACUCAAUAAUGUUAUCAUUUCUCCAAAAUAUACAAGUCUUUUGAGUUUAUAUUUAUGAAUAAAAAAUAAA